RNAcentral lists this long non-coding RNA (456 nucleotides) under Sus scrofa (pig). RNAcentral describes it as "lncRNA (ENSSSCG00070027556.1)". Lineage: Eukaryota; Metazoa; Chordata; Mammalia; Artiodactyla; Suidae. The record is from RNAcentral.
GUAUUCAUCCAGGUCAGAUUACCACCAGAGGGCGUCUGACAGCUCAUUCCCUGGGGAUGUCAGCUGAGCCACGGCACCUGCUGACCUGCCCGGGGCGCGGAAAUAGGGGAAAGGGCACUAGAGAGAGAAAGCCAAGGACGUGACCAGGUGACAAAUGGACAAGAAGAGGAAGAAAGACAGAUUCUGCCCAUGUCCACAGGCCCUGGGAUUAGGGCUGCGUGGGGUAGAUGCUCCAGGAGCAGCAAGCCAUGGGGGCUAAGAGCUCUUCCCUCUUAUUUUGGAAGCUGUCAUCAUCUGCUUUGGAGGAGCUACUUCUCCCUCCUCGGAAUCUUGAGGGAACUGUCAAUCAAGGUACUUUUCACCUUUGCCAAAGUUGAACCUGAGAUCCCAGCCAAGCCAGGACUUUGAACAUUGCGUGUAAUGACAUAGAUAGAGAAAACAGUUGAGCUGAGGUAU